UUAAGUUCAGCGGGUAUCCCUACCUGAUCCGAGGUCAACCAUAGAAGAUUGGGGGUUGCUGGCCAGCAUCCGCCGGGACCCUGUAGCGAGGAGAUGUACUACGCUCAGGGCCCGACGGCACCGCCACUGACUUUAGGGCCCGCCGGGGCGGCGGGGCCCAACACCAAGCAGAGCUUGAGGGUUGUAAUGACGCUCGAACA
RNAcentral lists this unclassified non-coding RNA (200 nucleotides) under Gymnostellatospora sp. RNAcentral's name for it is "partial internal transcribed spacer 2". The record is from RNAcentral. Lineage: Eukaryota; Fungi; Ascomycota; Leotiomycetes; Thelebolales; Pseudeurotiaceae.